Molecule: unclassified non-coding RNA, 263 nt
Filed under: Hevea brasiliensis (rubber tree)
Lineage: Eukaryota; Viridiplantae; Streptophyta; Magnoliopsida; Malpighiales; Euphorbiaceae
Source: RNAcentral
UUGGACGGAAUUUUCCCUUCAAAAGUAUUGUUUUCAAGAUUUAAAAUUUGUAGCCUUUGCAAACGGCCUAGUUCAGAAGGGAUUUCACCUUGUAUGCUGUUGUUUUGUAGCCAAAUCUCCCUAAGGAAACUCAUGUUUCCUAUAUAAGGAGACAAAUUGCCCACCAAGCUCUUAGAAUGAAGAUCCAGAAGGGUGACUUUUUUGUGUCUGCGACCACAGAUGACACCUUCCCAGUUGCAGAAAUGGACAGAACCAUUCCAUGA